CCGCGGUAAUACGGAGGAUCCAAGCGUUAUCCGGAUUUAUUGGGUUUAAAGGGUGCGUAGGCGGAAUAGUAAGUCAGUGGUGAAAGCCUGUCGCUUAACGACAGAACUGCCAUUGAUACUGCUAAUCUUGAGUAUAAUUGAAGUGGGCGGAAUGUGUCGUGUAGCGGUGAAAUGCUUAGAUAUGACACAGAACACCAAUUGCGAAGGCAGCUCACUAAACUAUAACUGACGCUGAGGCACGAAAGCGUGG
Molecule: ribosomal RNA, 250 nt
Filed under: uncultured bacterium
Lineage: Bacteria
Description: partial 16S ribosomal RNA
Rfam family: Bacterial small subunit ribosomal RNA
Source: RNAcentral